GGACUUCUGGAGGUCGUCGAGGAGCAGGCGCGCGAGGAGGAAGUGGCCCAGGUGGUUGACGCCCACGCUCAUCUCGUACCCGUCGGCGGUGAACGUCGGCGUCCGCGCCGUCGGGCGGUAGAUGGCGGCGUUGCAGACGAGGGAGUCGAGCGGCAUCCCGGCGCGGCGGAAGUUGUCGACGAACUGGCGGACGCUGUCGAGGGAAGCGAGGUCGAGGUGCAUGAUGGUGUAGCUGCCCUCCGCCAUGCCCGCGCCCUUGGCGGCCUUGGCCGUCUUGAGGAAGUCGCGGCAGGCCAUGACGACGUGCCACUUGCCCGUCUCCGCCAGCGCCUUGGCCGCGGCCAGGCCGAGCCCCGACGACGCGCCCGUGAUCACCACCACGCCCUGGCGCAGCGUCUUCUUGCCGUCCUUGGUCGCCGUGCUGGCACCCGGGGUGGCCACGGGCGCCGUCGCCACCGCCUGCGCCCUCACCGAAAGCGACGGC
RNAcentral lists this long non-coding RNA (484 nucleotides) under Setaria italica (foxtail millet). RNAcentral's name for it is "long non-coding RNA (SITA_LNC001762)". Lineage: Eukaryota; Viridiplantae; Streptophyta; Magnoliopsida; Poales; Poaceae. The record is from RNAcentral.